GGGGUGAUGGCCUACCAAGGCGACGACGGGUAGCCGGCCUGAGAGGGUGUCCGGCCACACUGGGACUGAGAUACGGCCCAGACUCCUACGGGAGGCAGCAGUGGGGAAUAUUGCACAAUGGGCGCAAGCCUGAUGCAGCGACGCCGCGUGAGGGAUGACGGCCUUCGGGUUGUAAACCUCUUUCAACGCCGACGAAGCGUAAGUGACGGUAGGCGUAGAAGAAGCACCGGCCAACUACGUGCCAGCAGCCGCGGUAAUACGUAGGGUGCGAGCGUUGUCCGGAAUUACUGGGCGUAAAGAGCUCGUAGGUGGUUUGUCGCGUUGUUCGUGAAAACCUGAGGCUCAACUGUGGGCGUGCGGGCGAUACGGGCAGACUGGAGUACUGCAGGGGAGACUGGAAUUCCUGGUGUAGCGGUGGAAUACGCAGAUAUCAGGAGGAACACCGGUGGCGAAGGCGGGUCUCUGGGCAGUAACUGACGCUGAGGAGCGAAAGCGUGGGGAGCGAACAGGAUUAGAUACCCUGGUAGUCCACGCCGUAAACGGUGGGUACUA
This 552-nucleotide ribosomal RNA is filed under the name uncultured Actinomycetes bacterium. RNAcentral's name for it is "bacterial SSU rRNA". It matches the Rfam family "Bacterial small subunit ribosomal RNA", at positions 254 to 818 of the family's 1533-position model. The record is from RNAcentral. Lineage: Bacteria; Bacillati; Actinomycetota; Actinomycetes.